RNAcentral lists this signal recognition particle RNA (97 nucleotides) under Alphaproteobacteria bacterium. Its description in RNAcentral is "signal recognition particle sRNA small type". It matches the Rfam family "Bacterial small signal recognition particle RNA". From Rfam's summary of the family: The signal recognition particle (SRP) is a universally conserved ribonucleoprotein involved in the co-translational targeting of proteins to membranes. Archaeal SRP consists of a 7S RNA and homologues of the eukaryotic SRP19 and SRP54 proteins. In most bacteria, the SRP consists of a 4.5S RNA and the Ffh protein (a homologue of the eukaryotic SRP54 protein). The record is from RNAcentral. Lineage: Bacteria; Pseudomonadati; Pseudomonadota; Alphaproteobacteria.
AGCGGCUGGCGGCGGGCGAUGCCCCCGCGAAUCCGGUCAGGGCCGAAAGGCAGCAGCCGUAACGGGAUUCGCAUCGGGUCGUCCGUCAGCCACUUCA